ACCUGGCUGGCUCAGUCAGUAGAGCAUCUGACUCUUGAUCUCAGGGUCAUGAGUUCAAGCUUUAUGUUAGGCA
RNAcentral lists this transfer RNA (73 nucleotides) under Canis lupus familiaris (dog). It matches the Rfam family "tRNA". Rfam says of the family: Transfer RNA (tRNA) molecules are approximately 80 nucleotides in length. Their secondary structure includes four short double-helical elements and three loops (D, anti-codon, and T loops). RNAcentral also lists the same sequence under 1 other name. The record is from Rfam by way of RNAcentral. Lineage: Eukaryota; Metazoa; Chordata; Mammalia; Carnivora; Canidae.